GACGAACGCUGGCGGCGUGCUUAACACAUGCAAGUCGAGCGGUAAGGCCCUUUCGGGGGUACACGAGCGGCGAACGGGUGAGUAACACGUGGGUGACCUGCCCUCAGCUCUGGGAUAAGCCCGGGAAACUGGGUCUAAUACCGGAUAUGACUCCAUGACGCAUGUUGUGGGGUGGAAAGCCUUGUGCGGCUGAGGAUGGGCCCGCGGCCUAUCAGCUUGUUGGUGGGGUGAUGGCCUACCAAGGCGACGACGGGUAGCCGGCCUGAGAGGGCGACCGGCCACACUGGGACUGAGACACGGCCCAGACUCCUACGGGAGGCAGCAGUGGGGAAUCUUGCGCAAUGGGCAAAGCCUGACGCAGCGACGCCGCGUGAGGGAUGACGGCCUGU
Molecule: ribosomal RNA, 389 nt
Filed under: uncultured bacterium
Lineage: Bacteria
Description: bacterial SSU rRNA
Rfam family: Bacterial small subunit ribosomal RNA
Source: RNAcentral